Long non-coding RNA from Oncorhynchus tshawytscha (Chinook salmon), 4241 nucleotides. NCBI's taxonomy places the organism in Eukaryota, Metazoa, Chordata, Actinopteri, Salmoniformes, Salmonidae. The record is from Ensembl.
UUUUCAUUAACAUGCAAAAGUAAGCGUUGCAGUUUUAAGAUGGUCCCUUAAUCCUCUGAGCAGAGAAGAGCAACAUUUUAGCCACAUUUUGCCUCCAUAAAGAAAAUAUGACACCAAAUCGCAAAAACAAGAGUUGUAACUGGUUCGCUAUCGUUAGCUGAUUCAGAAUAUGUUGUUUAUCUACUGUUCCCUCUGUAGAUUUUAGUAGCUGAAUUUGUCACUAGAAUCAUUUACCAAUGAAAGUCUCUGGAGGGGUCUGAAAACUUGCUCAAUAUUGUAGGCAGCACUGCCUGAGUGGCAAAUCACUUGUUAGCUUAUAGGCCUACUGUAGCUCUGAUUAGCUAUGGUUCACAGGUCCACGUAGACUCUAGUCCUGGACAAGACAGAUUUUUUAUUAGGUUUUAUUCACUGCAGUGUCUAUUAAUUGUCCUGUCAGUUCAGCUUUUAACGGUGGCUAUUUGUGUGUGUCUGUGUGUGUGUGUAUAUCUGUUUGUGCACGUGUGAGCGAAUGAGAGCCACUGGGAAGGGCUUGUCUCAGACUCUUGUUUUAGUGUUGGCACAACUUCAGACUGCCAGCCUAAUCCAAGGCCCCCUCAGAGCUUGGACACAACUAAAGCAGGACCUGAGCCAUAGGACCAUGCCUCAGGACUACCUGGCAUGAUGACUCCUUGCUGUCCCCAGUCCACACGGCCGUGCUGCUGCUCCAGUUUCAACUGUUCUGCCUGCGGCUAUGAAAUACUGACCUGUUCACCGGACGUGCUACCUGUCCCAGACCUAUUAUUUGACCGUGCUGGUCAUUUAUGAACAUUUGAACAUCUUGGCCAUGUUCUGUUAUAAUCUCCCCCCGGCACAGCCAGAAGAGGACUGGCCACCCCACAUAGCCUGGUUCCUCUCUAGGAAUCUUCCUAGGAUUUGGCCUUUCUAGGGAGUUUUUCCUAGCCAACGUGCUUCAACACCUGCAUUGCUUGCUGUUUGGGGUUUUAGGCUGGGUUUCUGUACAGCACUUUGAGCUAUCAGCUGAUGUUCGAAGGGCUAUAUAAAUAAAUUUGAUUUGAUGAUUUGAUUUGACCUAGGCCUGUAUGUCUGUCUGAAUGUAUGACUGUGACCUAGGCCUGUAUGUCUGUCUGACUGUCUGACUGUGACCUAGACCUCUAUGUCUGUCUGACUGUAUGACUGUGUGACUGUAUGACUGAGUGACUGUGACCUAGGCCUGUAUGUCUGUCUGAAUGUGUGACUGUAUGAGUGUAUGACUGUGUGACUGUACGACUCUAUGCCUGUGUGACUGUGUGACUCUUUGACUGUAUGACUGUAUGACUGUGUGACUCUAUGCCCGUGUGACUGUGUGACUCUAUGCCUGUGUGACUGCGUGAAUCUUUGACUGUAUGACUGUGUGACUCUAUGACUUUGUGACUCUAUGCCUGUGUGACUCUAUGCCUGUGUGACUCUAUGCCUGUGUGACUGUGUGACUGUGUGACUCAAUGCCUGUGUGACUCUAUGCCUGUGUGACUGUGUGACUGUGUGACUCUAUGCCUGUGUGACUCUAUGCCUGUGUGACUGUGUGACUGUAUGCCUGUGUGACUGUGUGACUCUAUGCCUGUGUGACUGUGUGACUCUAUGCCUGUGUGACUGUGUGACUGUGUGACUCUAUGCUUGUGUAACUGUAUGACUGUGUGACUGUGUGACUCUAUGCCUGUGUGACUGCGUGACUCUGACUGUAUGACUGCGCGACUCUAUGACUGUGUGACUGUGUGACUCUAUGCCUGUGUGACUCUAUGCCUGUGUGACUCCAUGCCUGUGUGACUGUGACUGGGUGACCGUGUGACUGUAUGACUGGGUGACUGUGUGACUCUAUGCCUGUGUGACUCUAUGCCUGUGUGACUGUGUGACUCUGACUCUAUGCCUGUGUGACUGUGUGACUCUAUACCUGUGUGACUGUGUGACUCUAUGCCUGUGUGACUGUGUGACUCUAUGCCUGUGUAACUGUGUGACUGUGACUGUAUGACUGGGUGACUGUGUGACUCUAUGCCUGUGUAACUGUGUGACUGUGACUGUAUGACUGGGUGACUGUGUGACUCUAUGCCUGUGUGACUCUGUGACUCUUUGACUGUAUGACUGUAUUUGUAUUUAUUUAUUAUUUCACCUUUAUUUAACCAGGUAGGCAAGUUGAGAACAAGUUCUCAUUUACAACUGCGACCAGGCCCUGAUAAAGCAAAGCAGUUCGACACAUAUAACAACGCAGAGUUACACGUGGAGCAAAACAAACAUACAGUCAAUAAUACAGUACAAAAAUAAGUCUAUAUAGGAUGUGAGCAAAUGAGGUGAGAUAAGGGAGGUAAAGGCAAAAAAAGGCCAUGGUGGCAAAGUAAAUACAAUAUAGCAAGUAAAACACUGGAAUGGUAGAUUUGCAGUGGAAGAAUGUGCAAAGUAGAAAUAGAAAUAAUGGGGAGCAAAGGAGCAAAAUAAAUACAGUAGGGGAAGAGGCAGUUGUUUGGGCUAAAUUAUAGAUGGGCUAUGUACAGGUGCAGUAAUCUGAGAGCUGCUCUGACAGCUGGUGCUUGAAGCUAGUGAGGGAGAUAAGUGUUUCCAGUUUCAGAGAUGUUUGUAGUUCGUUCCAGUCAUUGGCAGCAGAGAACUGGAAGGAGAGGCGGCCAAAGGAGGAAUUGGUUUUGUGGGUGACCAGAAAGAUAUACCUGCUGGAGCGCGUGCUACAGGUGGGUGCAGCUAUGGUGACCAGCGAGCUGAGAUAAGGAGGGACUUCACCUAGCAGGGUCUUAGAUGACCUGGAGCCAGUGGGUUUGGCGACGAGUAUGAAGUGAGGGCCAGCCAACGAGAGCGUACAGGUCGCAGUGGUGAGUAGUAUAUGGGGCUUUGGUGCCAAAAUGGAUGGCACUGUGAUAGACUGCAUCCAAUUUAUUAAGUAGGGUAUUGAAGGCUAUUUUGUAAAUGACAUCGCCGAAGUCGAGGAUCGGUAGGAUGGUCAGUUUUACGAGGGUAUGUUUGGCAGCAUGAGUGAAGGAUGCUUUGUUGCGAAAUAGGAAGCCAAUUCUAGAUUUAACUUUGGAUUGGAGAUGUUUGAUGUGAGUCUGGAAGGAGAGUUUAGUCUAACCAGAUACCUAGGUAUUUGUAGUUGUCCACAUAUUCUAAGUCAGAACCAUCCAGAGUAGUGAUGCUAGACGGGCAGGCAGGUGAAGGCAGCGAUUGGUUGAAAAGCAUGCAUUUAGUUUUACUUGUAUUUAAGAGCAGUUGGAUCCAACGGAAGGAGAGUUGUAUGACUGUGUGACUCUAUGCCUGUGUGACUGUGUGACUCUAUGCCUGUGUGACUGUGUUACUGUGUGACUAUGCCUGUGUGACUAAAAAAGCCUUGUGCCCUAAAAGCCUUGUGCUUUCAAUUAAAACAUCUAUCACGGAUUACUCACACAAAAACAUACCUUCAGCCUCAGUAGAGUGGAGCCUGUUACUUACAAAGGGCUUACAAAUCCUACCUCGCUGCUCCGGGCUAUGGCAUCUCACUAACACACUCACACACACCUAUCUCUCUCUCUUUCCCUCUGUCUUUUUCUUCAGCCACCUUUCUUUAUACUCUUAAAAAGGGGUACUUCGGCUGUCCGCAUAGGGUAACUAUUUUUUGUUCCACGCAGAACACUUUUGGUAUCCAUGUAGAACCUUUUGUGGAAAAGGUUUUACAUGUAACACAAAAGGGUUCUACCUUGAACCAAAAAGGGUAUUUCAAAAGGUUAUCCUAUGGGGCCAGCUGAAGAACCCUUAGGUUCUAGAGUGUAGGAGCAGAGCUUGCAGGCAAAACAGGAUUGAAUGUGAAAUUGACCCUUCCUCUUCAUUUCUGAAAUGAUUAAUAGAGAAGGAUAUUCCUGAAACUGUUGAAUUAAUGUGUUGUUCUCGAUCAAUAUGUAGUCUAUCAAAUGUAAUAUAUCAACAAGUGUUGUUCUCGAUCAAUAUGUAGUCUAUCAAAUGUAAUAUAUCAACAAGUGUUGUUCUCGAUCAAUAUGUAGUCUAUCAAAUGUAAUAUAUCAACAUGUGUUGUUCUCGAUCAAUAUGUAGUCUAUCAAAUGUAAUAUAUCAACAAGUGUUGUUCUUUUCUUUUGGAAUGUGUUAAUCAACUCCUCAGAACGCAGGGUAGCGCACACCACUUCAUAGACAAUAGGCUGUCAUCUCUCUUUCUAUGAGAAGACAUUCUGUUCCUGGUCGUACCAGACCGACAGUUUAGAGAAGAGAAACCAGACCCC